AAAGUCGUAACAAGGUUUCCGUAGGUGAACCUGCGGAAGGAUCAUUACAGAAUGCACAUCUCUCUACCUUCUUGUAGCAAGGUGGGGACCAAUACAAUAGUAUCUGAUGCCAUGGUGGGGCAUGAUCUCACCGUGGGGGCUGUUGUGUCUGCCUGCGUCAACCAUAGGAUGGUAGCCCUUUCAGCGCGUGAAUGUCGGUUAUCCGGCAGUGCGCACCUUUGGUCUUCGCCCUGCUACGCCGUUCUAUUUUACAAAUCUGUCGCAUGUUGGUGGCAUCCCAUACAAAUAUAUAUAUAUAUAACUUUCAACAACGGAUCUCUUGGCUCUC
This 328-nucleotide unclassified non-coding RNA is filed under the name Basidiomycota sp. RNAcentral describes it as "partial contains small subunit ribosomal RNA, internal transcribed spacer 1, and 5.8S ribosomal RNA". The stretch from base 1 to 47 matches the Rfam family "Eukaryotic small subunit ribosomal RNA", at positions 1785 to 1831 of the family's 1831-position model. Lineage: Eukaryota; Fungi; Basidiomycota. The record is from RNAcentral.